This 728-nucleotide ribosomal RNA is filed under the name Bacillus anthracis (anthrax bacterium). RNAcentral describes it as "bacterial SSU rRNA". It matches the Rfam family "Bacterial small subunit ribosomal RNA", at positions 53 to 762 of the family's 1533-position model. Lineage: Bacteria; Bacillati; Bacillota; Bacilli; Caryophanales; Bacillaceae. The record is from RNAcentral.
ACAUGCAGUCGAGCGAAUGGAUUAAGAGCUUGCUCUUAUGAAGUUAGCGGCGGACGGGUGAGUAACACGUGGGUAACCUGCCCAUAAGACUGGGAUAACUCCGGGAAACCGGGGCUAAUACCGGAUAAUAUUUUGAACCGCAUGGUUCGAAAUUGAAAGGCGGCUUCGGCUGUCACUUAUGGAUGGACCCGCGUCGCAUUAGCUAGUUGGUGAGGUAACGGCUCACCAAGGCAACGAUGCGUAGCCGACCUGAGAGGGUGAUCGGCCACACUGGGACUGAGACACGGCCCAGACUCCUACGGGAGGCAGCAGUAGGGAAUCUUCCGCAAUGGACGAAAGUCUGACGGAGCAACGCCGCGUGAGUGAUGAAGGCUUUCGGGUCGUAAAACUCUGUUGUUAGGGAAGAACAAGUGCUAGUUGAAUAAGCUGGCACCUUGACGGUACCUAACCAGAAAGCCACGGCUAACUACGUGCCAGCAGCCGCGGUAAUACGUAGGUGGCAAGCGUUAUCCGGAAUUAUUGGGCGUAAAGCGCGCGCAGGUGGUUUCUUAAGUCUGAUGUGAAAGCCCACGGCUCAACCGUGGAGGGUCAUUGGAAACUGGGAGACUUGAGUGCAGAAGAGGAAAGUGGAAUUCCAUGUGUAGCGGUGAAAUGCGUAGAGAUAUGGAGGAACACCAGUGGCGAAGGCGACUUUCUGGUCUGUAACUGACACUGAGGCGCGAAAGCGU